This is a long non-coding RNA of Monodelphis domestica (gray short-tailed opossum), 2005 nucleotides long. RefSeq lists it as uncharacterized. The record is from RefSeq and is a predicted model, not a curated record. Lineage: Eukaryota; Metazoa; Chordata; Mammalia; Didelphimorphia; Didelphidae.
CUCUCCCCUGGGUUUAGCGCCCUGGAGGGGGAGGGGCUGAACCUGUGAGAACUCCUAGGCGCCGUUCUGCGGAGGAAUAACGGGGGCGAUUCCUUCCAGCAUGUCUCUGGGGUCUGGACUGUUAGUGGCAGGCUCUGUGGCACCUUUCGGCCGCAGCCCGGGCUUACGGGAGGAGAAACUGAGCUCCGUAAGGGGAGAAACGAGAUCGUUUCGGGACGUCCCUCCGCCGGUUCAGCUCCUUCUGGGCUGAGGAUCGGCGUGCACUAAGGCGCUGAGAUCCCAAAGGGAGAAACCGCCGCAUCCCUGGAGAUGGCGGGGGAGGGGGUGGCCCGGAACCUGGCCAAGCCUUCCCCUCGGUCUCAGGAUUGACCGAGGCUCUCCCUGCUGGACCUCAGCCUGCCUCAAUGCCUGCAGCCAGCCUCCUGCCCAGGAAGAGGAGACAACGAGCUUGCAGAGGACCCAGGAUGGGAGCCAGAGGGGUGGCCCCUAGGAGCCCCGGCCCCCCAGCCCAGUUCUUCCUCUGGAUGUGGAUAGCGUUCUUUCUCAUAGAUCCCUGCGGAUUGUUCAGGAAUGUUACAUUGCCACUAAUGGAGAAGUCCAUUACAUUCAAUUGUACCACAGUGUUUCAGUCUCUGUGUACCAUGUUUUCCUGGUUCUGCUCCUCUCGCUCUGCAUCACUUCCUGGAGGUCCUUCCAGUUCACGUGGAAUCCCUCCAGUUCAUCAUUCCUUUGAGCACAAUAGUAUUCCAUCACCAACAGACACCACAGUUGGUUCAGCCAUUCCCCAAUUGAAGGUGUUAACUUGGAAAUAACGCAGAACUAUUAAAUAGUCAGAAAAACCAAGUAUUUAAUCAGGAGACGGAUGAAUCCAAUUUGGCCCUUUACUCAGUCUGGCGCCACAACCUUUUCAGGAUGCAAACCCUGGACUCUGGGAUGUUGUCCCUGGGAGCGCCACAACGCUAUCUAUCUGACGACUCUGAGGAGCAAAAGCAUUGGAGAACCUCUAUACCAUUUGGGGAGUCCAGGGGCAGGGAAAGAUGAUGGACAUCACUAUAGCUACAAGGAAAAUGGGAGGGUUCAAACUACACUGACAGGAUUCAAUCAAGCUUGGGAAAGGAAUCAUAGCUAGAGACUGGGUGUAAGAGAAGGGGCUGCUUACUGAUACUGAAGGAUGGUUCCUGCCCAGGUGUGGAUCUUCCUGGGAAAGGUUCUAAUACAAUAGGGGAGAUGACCUGAGAAAAGAGGGUACUUAGCAUAUGCUUAUCCCACCCAAUCAGGAUUGUCAAUCCCCUGGGGGUCCCCCACUCAGUCUGAAACUGCUAACUUGGGAUUCCCUUCAGGGUAGAUUCCCAGGGAACAGGGAACAAAGACAAGCUUUGGGGUCUCCGACCUACAAGCUAGUUUUAAAACUUGGGGUUCAUCAGAUCCCACUAGGCCACAAGUUUGGGGUUCCUAAAUUCCAUGUUGACACAGGACAUCCCCAUAUUUUCCAAUUUUUGGCCACCACAAAGUGCACAACUAUGAAUAUUCUUGUACAUGUAUUUUUCCUUAUUAUCUCUUUGGGAUACAAACCCAGUCUUUUAGCGCCCUUUGGGCCUAGUUCCAAAUUGCCCUCCAGAAUGGUUGGAUCCAUUCACAACUCCACCAGCAAUGCAUUAGUGUCCCAAUUUUGUAAAAGUUUAAUGUUGAAAAGAUUGUUUUAGAUUUUAGGUUCAGAUCUUAAUGGAGUAGCCAAGCUCACUUAGAGAAAAACAACAUGGUUGGGCUCUUGUUCCUGAGAACUCAAAUCUAGAAUGUGAGCUUCUCAGUGUUGCUCUUGAGAAGAGUGACAAAAGGUGAAGUAAACACAGUGUUCCUGACUGAUCUGUGCUUCUUUGCUCUUGAAGAUAAUAAAGCAGAAAACUAACAAUUAACCUAAAGUCCUGAACUCUCUUAAGGUCCACUGAAUAUACAGAAAGGGUUUGUGUGAUUUUUACUUAACAAAUACAGGCUUUGAUUUUGUUUU